Molecule: unclassified non-coding RNA, 335 nt
Filed under: soil metagenome
Description: partial contains 5.8S ribosomal RNA, internal transcribed spacer 2, and large subunit ribosomal RNA
Rfam family: 5.8S ribosomal RNA (bases 1-120)
Source: RNAcentral
GAUGAAGAACGUAGCGAAAUGCGAUAAGUAAUGUGAAUUGCAGAAUUCAGUGAAUCAUCGAAUCUUUGAACGCACAUUGCGCCCGCCAGUAUUCUGGCGGGCAUGCCUGUUCGAGCGUCAUUUCAACCAUCAAGCCCCCGGCUUGUGUUGGGGACCUGCGGCUGCCGCAGGCCCUGAAAACCAGUGGCGGGCUCGCUAGUCACUCCGAGCGUAGUAAUACAUUUCGCUCAGGGCGUGCUGCGGGUUCCGGCCGUUAAAAAGCCUUAUUUACCCAAGGUUGACCUCGGAUCAGGUAGGAAGACCCGCUGAACUUAAGCAUAUCAAUAAGCGGAGGA